This 299-nucleotide long non-coding RNA is filed under the name Phoenix dactylifera (date palm). Its description in RNAcentral is "long non-coding RNA (PDAC_LNC008083)". The record is from RNAcentral. Lineage: Eukaryota; Viridiplantae; Streptophyta; Magnoliopsida; Arecales; Arecaceae.
UUGAAAAUUAUAUUUUAUUAAGCGAACAUUGGAAGUAUGGAAUAAUUAAUCAAGUAAUUCAGAUAUCUAACUUUCGUUGCCUGCUAUUUCCCGUCAUAAGCCAAUAUGCAUAAUAUCUGUAUAUCAUUUUAUUCUUUAAGAACUAGGGGAUGGGAAGGCUUGAAAACAUUCUAAAAGCUUCUCAUAUUUUUUGACAGUUCCUAAAUUGCUAUCCUCUAGCUCACCAUCUUGAAAAAUCAAUCUUUAGCUUUUGAGAUGAGAUUGUGAGAGAAUAGAGGUUAAUUUCUGACAUAUAAGUU